UACGUAGGUGGCAAGCGUUGUCCGGAUUUACUGGGCGUAAAGAGCGCGCAGGCGGUCGUUCAAGUCGCGUGUGAAAGCCCCCGGCUCAACUGGGGAGGGUCACGCGAUACUGAUCGACUCGAAGGCAGGAGAGGGUAGUGGAAUUCCCGGUGUAGUGGUGAAAUGCGUAGAUAUCAGGAAGAACACCAACGGCGAAGGCAGCUCGCUGGGACGGUACUGACGCUGAGACGCGAAAGCGUGGGGAGCAAACAGG
RNAcentral lists this ribosomal RNA (253 nucleotides) under uncultured bacterium. Its description in RNAcentral is "partial 16S ribosomal RNA". It matches the Rfam family "Bacterial small subunit ribosomal RNA", at positions 524 to 776 of the family's 1533-position model. The record is from RNAcentral.